UUGGAUCUACGUUUUGUUCUAUA
This 23-nucleotide non-coding RNA is filed under the name Arabidopsis thaliana (thale cress). The record is from RNAcentral. Lineage: Eukaryota; Viridiplantae; Streptophyta; Magnoliopsida; Brassicales; Brassicaceae.